GUAUUAUUCUUGGAGACUUGUGUUUGGGGCCAACCAACUCUCAGACAUGGGGGCACACGUUCAGAUCCGAACUAUAAAAGAGAAGAUUGAACAUGAGAAUUAUGACCCUGAUACCGAAAGCAAUGACAUCGCUUUGGUCAGGCUGAAUCAGACCAUCAUAUUUGACAAAUUCACUUAGCCUGCCUGCCUUCCUGCCAAACAAGCGAUUCUGAGCAAAUUGGAUGAUUGCUACGUUGCAGGCUGGGGUGUCAUUAAAGAACAAUCCACUGAAACAUCGGACAUUCUUCAUGAAGCCCCGGUAACCAUUAUUCCAGUUCACCAUUGCAACCGCCCAACCUGGUACAACGGAGCAGUGGGUGACUACAACCUGUGUGCUGGAUUUGAGCAGGGAGGUAAAGAUAGUUGCCAGGGUUACGGCGGAGGACCUUUGAUGUGCAAAAGGAGCAAAGCUAAGUUCUACACUGUGAUCGGCAUAACCAGCUGGGGCUCCAGCUGUCGCCAGAAUCAAAUCCUUGGAGUUUUUACUUCAACCCAGUAUUAUGACGAGUGGAUCAAUGGACACGACUUCGAGAAUCCCCAAAAGACAGCUGCGAAGAAAUACUUCUGGCAAAUGGCUGAAUUCUUCUACAAAUUCGUUGAGAAGGUUUUUCAGCGCUCCUGAAUAAGAAAGAACUGAGCCAUCUCUAUGCAAGAGAGAACUGCAUAGCACAUCAGCAAUUAGUUAUAUGUAUAGGCUAAUAGAUUAAUAAAUAGGAAUGCAUCAAUAA
This is a long non-coding RNA of Spea bombifrons (plains spadefoot toad), 767 nucleotides long. RefSeq lists it as uncharacterized. The record is from RefSeq and is a predicted model, not a curated record. The transcript has 3 exons. Lineage: Eukaryota; Metazoa; Chordata; Amphibia; Anura; Pelobatidae.